AUUGAACGCUAGCGGGAUGCUUUACACAUGCAAGUCGAACGAGUGGCGGACGGGUGAGUAAUAUAUCGGAACGUGCCCAGUAGCGGGGGAUAACUACUCGAAAGAGUGGCUAAUACAGCAUACUAUGGGAGCGGCCGAUCUCGGAUUAUCUCGUGGGUGGGGUAAAGGCUCACCAAGGCAAGGAUCCGUAGCUGGUUUGAGAGGACGACCAGCCACACUGGGACUGAGACACGGCACAGACUCCUACGGGCGGCAGCAGUGGGGAAUUUUGGACAAGGGGGGAAACCCUGAUCCAGCCAUCCCGCGUGUAUGAGAAGGCCUUCGGGUUGUAAAGUACUUUUGGCAGAGAAGCGGUAUCUGCAGAAUAAGCACCGGCUAACUACGUGCCAGCAGCCGCGGUAAUUC
This 405-nucleotide ribosomal RNA is filed under the name uncultured bacterium. Its description in RNAcentral is "partial 16S ribosomal RNA". It matches the Rfam family "Bacterial small subunit ribosomal RNA", at positions 30 to 526 of the family's 1533-position model. The record is from RNAcentral.